AGAAACAAAAGAUACGUAUACCCCUAUAGUACACUAAUAUAGAUUUAAGGUUUAGAGUUUAAUGAGCAAGUUUGGGGUGGGUGUUAUGAUUUUUUUUAAAGUAAAAUUUAAAAUAAUAAUUUUAUAAAAUAGUUUCCAAUUUUAUUUUGGAUUUUAAAUAAAAUUGAAAAAAUAAAAAACAAAUCGAUAAUUUUUUUGAACUGAAUUUUUUAUAUAUUUAUUUAUAUUUAUAUCUCUAUAGAGUAAGUGUAUAAGUGUCUUUUAUUUCCUUAUUCAAACAUUUUUGGUCAUUUUCUUAUUUGAGUAUUUUAGUAAAAAAAAACUCCUUUUAGGGUAUUUUAGAAUUUUCCCUAUAUAUUUCUCUUCAUUUUUAUUAUUUUAUGCUUUUUCUUUCUUUUUUCUUUUCAUUAUGCUAUUAUUUUUUUGUCUCGUUAAUUAUGCUAUUAUGUAUGAGAAACAUUACAUAGACGAUAUUACAGCCGGCAAUUCUACUCCUUAUGAGAAUUCAUGUCUGACUGCAUCACCCUGAGUAGCCCUAUGAGAUCCAUUUCUGACGGUACUCCUUGCGCCAUGCUGAAGAUCUCUUGUAUGCAUUUUCUCUAAUUUUCUGAAUAAUUCGCAUUCUUCGGGAAUUGAAACCCGGACCUUUUCCUGUAGAAAUUGCAUUGUCUGAGAUUUGAACCCUAGACCUGGAUAUAGAAGCUUUUAAACCUUAACCACUAGGUCACGAUGCUUUCACUCUGCUAUUCUUUUAAUAAUCACUUUUUUGUAAUUUUUUUAAUAAUCACUAGUUAGAGCUUAAAU
RNAcentral lists this long non-coding RNA (804 nucleotides) under Brassica rapa (field mustard). RNAcentral's name for it is "long non-coding RNA (BRAP_LNC006983)". The record is from RNAcentral. Lineage: Eukaryota; Viridiplantae; Streptophyta; Magnoliopsida; Brassicales; Brassicaceae.